Strigops habroptila (Kakapo) is the source of this 3303-nucleotide long non-coding RNA. NCBI's taxonomy places the organism in Eukaryota, Metazoa, Chordata, Aves, Psittaciformes, Psittacidae. The record is from Ensembl.
CCGCCCCUCCCGGCCGCGCCGCCCGCCGGGCCCCGCUGGGGAGCGCGUCUGGCGUUGUUCCGGCGGCCGCGUCCCGCCCUGCCCGGCGCGCCCCCGACCCCACCCCGCCGCCACCUCCCCGCCCGCCCCCGGGGCUGUGCGGGAGAGACAAUAGAGCUGCGGGCUCCGCGCUGAGCUGCGCGCCCCGGGGAUGGGCGGCGAGGUGUGCGCGGCCCCGGGGGCUCUGCGCUGCGGGAUGGGGCUGUAGCGGGGCUCGGGGUGGGGGGGGAGCGCGGCUUGGCUGGGGGGGAAAGGCGGAGAAUGGGGGGCGAUGCCCCUUUCUGAGCCCAGCCCGCCUCUGUGCUAACCUGGCAGGAUGCGGGAGAUGGCGGGGCUGCUGUGAAGAAAGUACCGGGGCUGGCCGGAGGCUGGAGAGCGGGACAUGUUGCUGGUACCCCGCUGAUGCUCGCCGGGUGUCGGCUCUGCUGGCAAAGGGGAGGCUGGUGAGGAGCUGGAGGACGGCGACGCGAGGCCACGGUGGGGGAAAAUCCGAGGCUCCGGCUGGGAAACCAUGGGGAGAUGCAAUGGGAGAUGUACGCUGGUCGGAUUCUGCUGCCUGCAGCUGGUGGCGGCGCUGGAGCGGCAGAUCUUUGAUUUCCUGGGCUACCAGUGGGCCCCCAUCCUGGCUAAUUUCCUACACAUCAUGGCCGUCAUCCUGGGCAUUUUUGGGACCAUCCAGUACAGAUCCAAAUACCUCAUGGUGUACGCGGUGUGGCUGGUGCUGUGGGUCGGCUGGAACGCCUUCAUCAUCUGCUUCUACCUGGAGGUUGGACGCUUGUCGCAGGACCGAGACUUCAUCAUGACCUUCAAUACCUCACUGCAUCGCUCGUGGUGGAUGGAGAACGGGCCGGGCUGCCUGGUGACGCCGGUGCUCAACUCCAACCUGGCGCCCGAGGACCAUCACGUCAUCACCGUCAGCGGGUGCCUGCUCGACUACCAGUACAUCGAGGUGGUGAGCAGUGCCACGCAGAUCUUCCUGGCGCUCUUUGGCUUUGUCUACGCCUGCUAUGUCAGCAAAGUGUUCCUGGAGGAAGAAGACAGCUUCGACUUCAUUGGUGGGUUCGACUCCUACGGCUACCAGGCGCCACAGAAGACAUCACACCUACAGCUACAGCCACUCUACACAUCCGGGUAACCUGCCCCGGAUCCAGCCCCAGCCCAGCGUGGGAGCCAGAGGCGACAGGACCCCUGAGAGUGAACUGUCCCACACCCAAUGACAAGACCCCCAUCAAGGGCGGGGGGACACGAUGCCGAGACACCCAUCCGCUCCCUGCACCCUGCAAGACCCCCAAGGAUGGAGCCAGGAGCUGCACGUCCAUCCAGCCUGGAAGCCUCCGAGCUCAAACCACACACCCACGGCAGGACUGGAGGGAGGGGGCUGGAUACGGGGGGACCCCCCCACGCUGUGCUCGCCCCUCAGGCUCCCGCAGCCUCCCCGGGAUGGGGACACGGGGACACGCAGGGAUGUGGCAUCACUCACUGGACACCGUUUUCUUCUGUUUCUCCCAGCCUGGAUUUCCCUUGGAGCAGCAAGGCCCUUCCCGAUGUUCCGGGCAGGAAGGGGCUGGAGCGGGAUUGGGGUGAAACCCAGCUGGUUUGGAGCAAACUGGGACCAGGGAUGAGGGAUGAACAGUGCUUUGGGGACAGGGACCAGCUUCGUCCUUCAGGGCUGGGACAUUUGCCUGAAACUCCGGGUCUGGGAGUUGGGCUGGCCCCAAAAAUGGGGGUUUUGCUCCCAGAAGGAAUUUCCCAGCCCCGCCUGGCUGGAUGGAACAGUGCCAAAGGGGUUUGGUCCCGGAUGAUUCCCUUCACCAUCAGGAGCUGGAUCCGGCUGUCAGCAUCUUGUCUCAAUUCCCCCCCAGCCUGGGGACAUGGAGGGACACAGAGCACCCCGAAUCCUCCUGCAAGCCCCCCUAUCCCUCCCACAUUUUGGGGGGGGGUCUUGCUCCAAGUUGGCAAUACUGACGCUGCUUUGACACAGCCCCUUUCCGGCUGUUUUAACGCAUCUCAUGAAUGUUUUGGGUUGGUUUUCUCCUUUCUAAUUACUGGGUUUGGUUAAUUUGUAUUAAUUUGAAGUGCCUGAGCAGUGGCUGAACAUGACCCCCCCCCCCGGCCGACACCGUGCCUUCAGCAGCGCUCUGCCCACUCCAGGGCACCCCAGGGCCUCCAACCCCCCCCCCGGUCCCUCCAUCCAUGUGGGAUCUUGGGGGCAAAUCCACCCCAUCAGGUCCGGCAGCAGGAGCGGGGUGACAUCGGGACAUGGGGAAUGGUUAUUUGGGGGGGGGGGGGAAUGUUCAAGAUCCAUUGGGCAGCGAUUGCUUUGUGAAUGGAGAUGAGCUGGGAAGUAACACCCCAGAGGAAGCUGGAAGGAAAAGGAAGUUCCAUGAAGCAUCCCAGCUCCCCAUAUCCUCCUUCUUCUCCUUUGUUUCCUGGAGGUGGGAUGUGGUGUCUCCUGGAUCUGGCCCCAAGCCCACCCUUGGCAUCUGUGAGUGUGUGUGUGGGGGGUGAAUUCUGCCUCCCAGGGGUUUGUCCUCCCAUCCUGGGGGUUAUACGGGGAUAGUCUUUGUGUUUCCCAACACGCAGCUGGGAAGUGCCAACAGCCGAAGCUGCCCAAGCCCAAACCCCAAAUCCCCCUGGAUUUGGCUGCAUCCCCCCACCAGCCCCUCCAUCGCCUCCAGCCAAGCUGCGAACUCUACAGGCAAUAAUUUUUCCACCUUUUCCCCUAUUUUUUCCAAGGAAAAUAAUGUUUUUCAGGUGACAGAUUCCCCCUUAUCCCCAAAACACAUCCCCAGCCCCAAGCGCUGCCCAGCCCCAGCAACAACAGCAUCUCCAGGGCUGAUUUUCCUCUCCAGGACCAAGGAUGCUCUCGCUGACCGGUGGGAUGGGAUGCAAUAGGAUGGGAUGGGAUGCGAUGGGGUGGGAUGGGAUGGGCAGGGCAGGCACCCACCUGCUCAAACCCCUUCUCCAAGCCAGCAGGAAGCAGAAGGAAAAGCCUGGAGUCAUUCUAACUCAUUCAGAGGAGCUGCCCUCCCUCCUGAGCUCGGUGGGAGCCAGGCACCGGCGCCGCAACCUUUUGGGUUUCCUUAUUCCCCCUUUUCCGUUGGCUUGUUUUUAUACAGGACUGUAUUUGUAAUGUGAACGAGGAUUUCUUUUCUAUUCUGUAAUUAUAAAAGGCGAAGGAAGGUUUCAGCUGAUGCUGUCCCACUCUGGGGCAUUUCCCUUCCUGGUGCACUUGAAUCGAUUAAAAUCUGGUGGGUUUUUUAA